This is a transfer RNA of Loxodonta africana (African savanna elephant), 71 nucleotides long. It matches the Rfam family "tRNA". Rfam says of the family: Transfer RNA (tRNA) molecules are approximately 80 nucleotides in length. Lineage: Eukaryota; Metazoa; Chordata; Mammalia; Proboscidea; Elephantidae. The record is from Rfam.
GCAUUAGUGGUUCAUUGGGAGAAUUCUUGCCUUCCAUGUGGGAGCCCUGGGUUUGAUUCCUGGCCAGUGCA